Molecule: transfer RNA, 72 nt
Filed under: Deltaproteobacteria bacterium
Lineage: Bacteria; Pseudomonadati; Myxococcota; Myxococcia
Also listed under: 1 other name
Description: tRNA-Glu
Rfam family: tRNA
About the family: Transfer RNA (tRNA) molecules are approximately 80 nucleotides in length. Their secondary structure includes four short double-helical elements and three loops (D, anti-codon, and T loops).
Source: RNAcentral
GGUCCCAUCGUCUAGUGGUAAGGACACCGGCCUCUCACGUCGGUAACACGGGUUCGAGUCCCGUUGGGACCA